Non-coding RNA from Terrapene triunguis (Three-toed box turtle), 378 nucleotides. The record is from the annotation of a RefSeq genome assembly. Lineage: Eukaryota; Metazoa; Chordata; Testudines; Emydidae.
AUGAACCUGCUACUGAUUUUCCUGUUCAUGCUGGAGGCCCCUUCAGGUGUCCUCUCCCAAGUGCAGCUGAAGGAAAUGGGUUUGGGAGCGGCGAAACCCGGGGAGUCCCUGACACUCACUUGUACCAUCUCCGGAGACUCGGUUUCUAGCACCAGAGCUACCUGGGACUGGUUCCGGCAGCCCGCGGGGAAGCGGCCGGAAUGGAUGGGGUGCACAUGGUAUAGGUCUGGCAGGUGGUACACUGAGUACCCCAGCUCUCUGCAGAGUCGAAUGACCAUCACACAAGACACUUCCAAGAACCAGUUCUCCCUGGAGCUCCGCUCGGUGACAGCUGCAGACACCGCCACCUAUUACUGCUCCGGGAGAGACACACAGUGA